This 374-nucleotide ribosomal RNA is filed under the name uncultured bacterium. RNAcentral describes it as "bacterial SSU rRNA". It matches the Rfam family "Bacterial small subunit ribosomal RNA", at positions 523 to 898 of the family's 1533-position model. The record is from RNAcentral.
AUACGUAGGGGGCUAGCGUUAUCCGGGAUUACUGGGCGUAAAGGGUGCGUAGGUGGUUUCUUAAGUCAGAGGUGAAAGGCUACGGCUCAACCGUAGUAAGCCUUUGAAACUGGGAAACUUGAGUGCAGGAGAGGAGAGUGGAAUUCCUAGUGUAGCGGUGAAAUGCGUAGAUAUUAGGAGGAACACCAGUUGCGAAGGCGGCUCUCUGGACUGUAACUGACACUGAGGCACGAAAGCGUGGGGAGCAAACAGGAUUAGAUACCCUGGUAGUCCACGCCGUAAACGAUGAGUACUAGCUGUCGGAGGUUACCCCCUUCGGUGGCGCAGCUAACGCAUUAAGUACUCCGCCUGGGAAGUACGCUCGCAAGAGUGAA